UACAGAGGUGGCAAGCGUUGUUCGGAAUUACUGGGCGUAAAGGGCGCGUAGGCGGUCUUUUAAGUCUUGUGUGAAAUCCCUCGGCUCAACUGAGGAACUGCACGGGAUACUGGAAGACUUGAGUUCGGGAGAGGGAAGCGGAAUUCCGGGUGUAGCGGUGAAAUGCGUAGAUAUCCGGAGGAACACCGGUGGCGAAGGCGGCUUCCUGGACCGAUUACUGAGCUGAGGCGCGAAAGCGUGGGGGAGCAAACGGG
Molecule: ribosomal RNA, 254 nt
Filed under: uncultured bacterium
Lineage: Bacteria
Description: partial 16S ribosomal RNA
Rfam family: Bacterial small subunit ribosomal RNA
Source: RNAcentral